This 429-nucleotide ribosomal RNA is filed under the name Bacteroidota bacterium. RNAcentral's name for it is "Bacteroidetes bacterium partial 16S ribosomal RNA". It matches the Rfam family "Bacterial small subunit ribosomal RNA", at positions 355 to 776 of the family's 1533-position model. Lineage: Bacteria; Pseudomonadati; Bacteroidota. The record is from RNAcentral.
UAGGGAAUCUUCCGCAAUGGACGCAAGUCUGACGGAGCAACGCCGCGUGAGUGAAGAAGGAUUUCGGUUCGUAAAACUCUGUUGUUAGAGAAGAACAGCGCAUAGAGUAACUGUUAUGCGUGUGACGGUAUCUAACCAGAAAGCCACGGCUAACUACGUGCCAGCAGCCGCGGUAAUACGUAGGUGGCAAGCGUUGUCCGGAUUUAUUGGGCGUAAAGCGAGCGCAGGCGGUCAAUUAAGUCUGAUGUGAAAGCCCCCGGCUCAACCGGGGAGGGUCAUUGGAAACUGGUUGACUUGAGUGCAGAAGAGGAGAGUGGAAUUCCAUGUGUAGCGGUGAAAUGCGUAGAUAUAUGGAGGAACACCAGUGGCGAAUGCGACUCUCUGGUCUGUAACUGACGCUGAGGCUCGAAAGCGUGGGUAGCAAACAGG